RNAcentral lists this non-coding RNA (29 nucleotides) under Cricetulus griseus (Chinese hamster). Lineage: Eukaryota; Metazoa; Chordata; Mammalia; Rodentia; Cricetidae. The record is from RNAcentral.
GCCAGAGACUAGGUACUCAAUGAAGAAAA